This 522-nucleotide ribosomal RNA is filed under the name uncultured bacterium. RNAcentral describes it as "bacterial SSU rRNA". It matches the Rfam family "Bacterial small subunit ribosomal RNA", at positions 777 to 1297 of the family's 1533-position model. The record is from RNAcentral.
AAUAGAUACCCCGGUAGUCCACGCCGUAAACGAUGAGUGCUAAGUGUUAGAGGGUUUCCGCCCUUUAGUGCUGCAGCUAACGCAUUAAGCACUCCGCCUGGGGAGUACGGUCGCAAGACUGAAACUCAAAGGAAUUGACGGGGGCCCGCACAAGCGGUGGAGCAUGUGGUUUAAUUCGAAGCAACGCGAAGAACCUUACCAGGUCUUGACAUCCUCUGACAACUCUAGAGAUAGAGCGUUCCCCUUCGGGGGACAGAGUGACAGGUGGUGCAUGGUUGUCGUCAGCUCGUGUCGUGAGAUGUUGGGUUAAGUCCCGCAACGAGCGCAACCCUUGAUCUUAGUUGCCAGCAUUAAGUUGGGCACUCUAAGGUGACUGCCGGUGACAAACCGGAGGAAGGUGGGGAUGACGUCAAAUCAUCAUGCCCCUUAUGACCUGGGCUACACACGUGCUACAAUGGAUGGUACAAAGGGCUGCAAGACCGCGAGGUCAAGCCAAUCCCAUAAAACCAUUCUCAGUUCGGA